This 651-nucleotide non-coding RNA is filed under the name Pan troglodytes (chimpanzee). Lineage: Eukaryota; Metazoa; Chordata; Mammalia; Primates; Hominidae. The record is from RNAcentral.
GAAAGCUUCUGUUUGUAUGUAUAAGGCAAUGUGCAUGCCAGCAUGUCAGUUACAGCAGGAGAGAGGGAACAAGCCAUGUGGGAACUGAUGGAGCCAUGUCACAUCCAGUGUCCUCUGCAGCCGCUAUGGAGUGACAGGAGGAAUGAGGGGCAAACGGUAAGAUCUUUAUGACGUGAGAGAAGCCAGGCGCGGAGCAGGGAACAGUCAGGUUUAAUUGGUGUGAAGAACAGGAUCACUGAAAAAUAUUUUCUCAUAGAUAAAACUCUUUUUGUAUAAAAGUCUACAGAAUUGUGAUAGGAAACCCAUAAUCAUGGUUUCAAGUGGGCAGAGAACUAGGCUCUGGCAUCGGGGGGGAAGGGGAACUGUUCACUGUCAACACCUUUUAGGACGUUUCCAUUGGGAUCGAAGGGUGGCUCACUCUGCCACUUUGACAUAAGAAUCACUUCUACCUAAGGCACUUGAAAAAUGGCACAGGCAAGAGCAUCAUCGGAUCUCUCCUUUUCUUCCUGAAGACAGGAGAUAAAAACGCUCAGGUGAAAGAUGCCUUCCCUGUACCGGGCAAAGAAAGAUUCCUCUACAGGGAAGCACGUCAUAGCCGACAGAAUUCUGUACAGACAUUAAAGUAAUUAAAGUAAUUCCUGUCGUUCUUAA